Long non-coding RNA from Homo sapiens (human), 1243 nucleotides. Ensembl annotates it as vanin 3, pseudogene. Its record names the gene VNN3P. NCBI's taxonomy places the organism in Eukaryota, Metazoa, Chordata, Mammalia, Primates, Hominidae. The record is from Ensembl.
GGGAUUUAAUGUAAAGUUUUUCCAGUGAAACAAAACGUAAGAAUCUGAGUUUGUUUUUCAAAGAUCACUAAAUUUUAGUUAUGAUUAUAUCACAUUUUCCAAAAUGUGUGGCAGUUUUUGCCCUCCUUGCUCUGAGUGUUGGUGCACUGGACACUUUUAUUGCUGCAGUAUAUGAGCAUGCGGUGAUAUUACCAAACAGAACAGAAACACCUGUUUCAAAAGAAGAAGCUUUGCUCCUGAUGAACAAGAACAUAGAUGUUUUGGAGAAAGCAGUUAAGCUGGCAGCGAAGCAGGGUGCACAUAUCAUUGUGACCCCAGAAGAUGGAAUCUAUGGUUGGAUCUUCACCAGGGAGAGCAUUUACCCCUAUCUAGAGGAUAUACCAGACCCUGGAGUGAACUGGAUUCCAUGUAGAGACCCCUGGAGGGAGUGGAAUCUACGCCCCAGAAGCAGUCAAGGUGUACCACUAUGACAUGGAAACAGAGAGUGGUCAGCUGUUGCUAUCAGAACUGAAGUCUCGGCCCCGCCGUGAGCCCACCUACCCUGCAGCUGUUGACUGGCAUGCGUAUGCCAGCAGUGUCAAGCCAUUUUCCUCUGAACAGUCAGAUUUUCUGGGGAUGAUUUAUUUUGAUGAGUUUACCUUCACCAAGCUUAAGAGAAAUACAGGAAAUUACACAGCUUGCCAGAAAGAUCUGUGUUGUCACUUAACUUACAAGAUGUCUGAGAAGCGAACAGACGAGAUCUAUGCCCUAGGUGCUUUUGAUGGACUGCACACAGUAGAAGGCCAAUAUUACUUACAGAUAUGUGCAUUACUGAAGUGUCAAACCACUGACCUGGAAACGUGUGGAGAACCUGUGGGGUCAGCUUUUACCAAGUUUGAAGACUUCUCCCUCAGUGGCACAUUUGGAACGCGUUAUGUUUUCCCACAGAUCAUUCUAAGUGGGAGUCAGCUUGCCCCUGAAAGACAUUAUGAGAUUUCAAGAGAUGGACGCUUGAGGAGCCGAAGUGGAGCCCCUUUGCCUGUCUUAGUUAUGGCCCUGUAUGGAAGAGUGUUUGAGAAGGACCCUCCACGCUUAGGGCAGGGAUCUGGGAAAUUCCAGUGAUCUCCUUUAGCAGAGCCCUUUUAGGAUUAGCCUGGCUAAGAAAGGAAGAAAAAAAAGAGAUCCGUUAGUGUCUGUUUAGAAAAGAUGUUAUAAACUUACAGAAACAAAUAUAAUAAACUGAAGCAGAUUUGAAAAGCAACAA